UAAUUUGUUAGAGGCGUUUAGGUCCAAAAAAGAUUCAUAGCGUGUUCUGGAAGCAGCUGCACUACCCAUUGGAAGCUGCCACAAAACGUGAAAAGGGACACCGCAAAUUUCUCAGCUUUGGAAUCCAACUUUUGGAACGCAUAAAUUAGGGAACGCCUUGAACUCAAAAAGAACGCAACGCGAAGUUUCAUACGAUCCAAUCUAACCAUCUUUAAGACGAUUUUGGCUGAAGACUUUGAUUCAAUGGGUGAAGCAACGCCAUGUUCUUCUUCUUCUGUUAAUGGCAGCAGCAGCACCAUAAGUUCUGAAGCCCCAAAACCGAGGAAGAAAAUCUGCUGUGCUUGCCCUGAAACUAAGAGGCUCAGAGAUGAAUGCAUAGUUCAGCAUGGUGAAGACUCUUGUACAAAAUGGAUUGAAGCUCACCGUUUGUGUCUUCGUUCUGAGGGGUUCAAUGUUUGAUUGUGGUAAUUUUUAUCUUAAUUUUCUUUAAAAAGGGGACAUUUUGGAGGGAUAAUUGGUUUUGAAAUUACAUUAUUGUGUUUUGAAAUCUUAGUAUAAGGAAUAGAAUUCAUAGUUUCAUAAUUUAUUGUAAUGAAUCAGGAGGUUUUGUCCUGGUUAAUCUUCUUGCUGAGACUUUAAAUUGAAAUGACUAGUUGAUAUGUUCCACUUGUCAAA
Molecule: non-coding RNA, 675 nt
Organism: Arachis ipaensis
Lineage: Eukaryota; Viridiplantae; Streptophyta; Magnoliopsida; Fabales; Fabaceae
Source: RefSeq, a predicted model, not a curated record